UUUCUCACGUGGUGGUUGACCGUGGCCAUUCUUUGAAUUAAGGCUCCCAGUUUCCCACUUGUCACUAACACCCUUAAAAACAUAUUACAAUUUUUCGUUAUUGUUGUGUAUUGUUGUGUAUUACAAAAUUCACUUACAGAUCAGCAAGACAUUCUAACAGCAGAAUUGUGACUUUAAAAAAUUUUCCAUGAAGAGAGAAAAACAAUACGUGGUAUAUCUUACGAUGUAUAUGAGGCAUCAACAAAGACACUGUUGAGUGUUGAGUGCACAAGAGAAUCAAGUCUUCCUUUUCUCCCUGGGGCCAGGUAAACUUCCAGAAUCUUGCGGGCCCAGCUACAGUUCUCUGACGGCCAUUGGGCAUCUCUGGUUUCAUUCAUUUUGUGGUGCUGGCGUUCACCCUGAGCCUGCCCACCAUAGCAAGGCUUCAUCCGCACGCUGGUAGUAGCAUCUUCCCAGACAGCCCUCCUAUACCGAGAUGCUAACAGGACCUUAACCGUAAGUGCCAAUGACAGAGGACCACAUCAAUUCAUCAUAUUAACCCCCAUCCACACUCACCCCUGACUCACCCUUCCGUAAACCGGAUUUCAAGAUGCCAGGAGUCAUUCAAACUGCACCUAAUUCCAAAGGAAGGUUGAGCGGUGAUGGAGGAGGAGUUGGAGGCAACAUCGUAACCAAUUGGACAUAAAACAUUUCACUGUGCAGAUGUUGUCUAGGCAGGUAACCAUGACAACACACUGGCAGAAUCCCUCCAGAGCUGUUGUCUAACUCCGCAACCCCUCUACAGGCUCACAUAUUUGAACGUUGGAUUCUCAGCUGAUCUGAGCUGUAAGCAGCAGUCACCUCAUGCUCCCUCCCACGCAUUGCCUUCUCUGCCACGAUGGACUGUGCCCUCUCAAACCAAGAGCCAGAAUAAAUCUUUGCAGCCCUAAGCGGCUUCCCGUCAGGUGCCCGAUAACAGCAGCUUCUGAGGCAUGGGUGACCUCAGGAUGGACACUGAAAAUGGGAGCUCAAUCCUCUGACGAUGCAGGGACAGUGAUGUCUGAGCUGUAUCCAGGGGGGCUGCUGAAUUAAGCAACUCUGUUACAAAUUGUCACCUAAGUGAGUUUGGGGAACAUUUGUCUGCCCUGCAUUCAUCCUGACAACAGCUUGAGUCCAAAACCAUUGGAAAAAUCGUUCACUCACGGGAGAAUCGUCAGUGAACCUUUAUACAAAUGUGUCUUUGGAGCUAUGGGAAAAACACUGAAACUAUGGAGUAAGAUCUGAGGGAGGAAAGCAUGAACGUGGAGUCGGCCGGGAAUGGCGUCUGGUGGUUCUUCUUCCUGCACACUGGUCCGUCAUGCAUCGGAACCGCCUGUGCAGUUCUUGCAUGAGCAGCUCUCCAGCCUGGACUGAUGGUGAUGGGCCAGAGAGAACAACAAGGAAGCCAGGGGACGACCUUGAACUGAACGGUACCAGGUCAGGUCAGAGACAGCCAGACACUACCCGGACAGCGGCAACAUUGUUGCCCCACAAUAUUGUCUGUCUCCAAAGAUGCUUUUCAGACAAAUUCAGGAGGUGCUGAAAAUCAAUAAAUUCCUAGACUUGAGCCUUCCAUGUGGUGAUACCCCCUCGCAGGGCUCCAGGAUACCUUAUGAAGACUUGUGGGCUACUCCAACCUUCUCUUUACCCAGAGUACUUGCGAAGCAUAGAUGCUGUGUGGACCCAUCCUCUGAGCGCGGGAACCAUCUCUCUGUUUGUCAACUGCCAGCGUUGACAUUCUCUCUCACUUCCCACGGUCUGGCACCAGAGAGGGGAUCUGGAGCCAACUUGAUUCCUCCUCUAAAGAGACAGCUUUGCAGUCUGCACUGUGUUUGUAAGGGAACUAAUAAAAUGUGCAAA
This 1878-nucleotide small RNA is filed under the name Rattus norvegicus (Norway rat). RNAcentral describes it as "uncharacterized LOC103691976". Lineage: Eukaryota; Metazoa; Chordata; Mammalia; Rodentia; Muridae. The record is from RNAcentral.